AGAGGAGAGUGGAAUUCCUGGUGUAGCGGUGAAAUGCGUAGAUAUCAGGAGGAACACCGGUGGUGUAGACGGCUCUCUGGACCGUAACUGACGCUGAGACACGAAAGCGUGGGUAGCAAACAGGAUUAGAUACCCUGGUAGUCCACGCCCUAAACGAUGCAUAUUUGGUGUGGGCAGUUCAUUCUGUCCGUGCCGGAGCUAACGCGUUAAAUAUGCCGCCUGGGGAGUACAGUCGCAAGGCUGAAACUCAAAGGAAUUGACGGGGGCCCGCACAAGCGGUGGAGCAUGUGGUUCAAUUCGACGCAACGCGAAGAACCUUACCUGGGCUCGAACGGCUGGUCAACGGAGGUGGAAACACUUCUACCCCGCAAGGGGGUCCAGUCGAGGUGCUGCAUGGCUGUCGUCAGCUCGUGUCGUGAGAUGUUGGGUUAAGUCCCGCAACGAGCGCAACCCUUGUCCUGUGUUGCCAUCAUUCAGUUGGGAACUCGCAGGAGACCGCCAGGGAUAACCUGGAGGAAGGUGGGGAUGACGUCAAGUCCUCAUGGCCUUUAUGUCCAGGGCUACACACGUGCUACAAUGGACGGUACAAAGCGCAGCAAACCCGCGAGGGGGAGCCAAUCGCAAAAAACCGUUCUCAGUUCGGAUUGCAGGCUGCAACUCGCCUGCAUGAAGCUGGAAUCGCUAGUAAUGGCAGAUCAGCACGCUGCCGUGAAUACGUUCCCGGGCCUUGUACACACCGCCCGUCACAUCACGAAAGUGGAUUGUACUAGAAGUCUGCGCGCUGACCCGCAAGGGAGGCAGCGGCCCAAGGUAUGAU
RNAcentral lists this ribosomal RNA (817 nucleotides) under uncultured Acidobacteriota bacterium. RNAcentral describes it as "bacterial SSU rRNA". It matches the Rfam family "Bacterial small subunit ribosomal RNA", at positions 653 to 1468 of the family's 1533-position model. The record is from RNAcentral. Lineage: Bacteria; Pseudomonadati; Acidobacteriota.